GACCCCAGGUCAGGCGGGGUUAC
Molecule: ribosomal RNA, 23 nt
Filed under: Iresine schaffneri
Lineage: Eukaryota; Viridiplantae; Streptophyta; Magnoliopsida; Caryophyllales; Amaranthaceae
Also listed under: 3 other names
Description: 26S ribosomal RNA
Source: RNAcentral